This 253-nucleotide ribosomal RNA is filed under the name uncultured bacterium. Its description in RNAcentral is "partial 16S ribosomal RNA". It matches the Rfam family "Bacterial small subunit ribosomal RNA", at positions 524 to 776 of the family's 1533-position model. The record is from RNAcentral.
UACGAAGGGGGCUAGCGUUGUUCGGAAUUACUGGGCGUAAAGCGCACGUAGGCGGAUCGAUCAGUCAGGGGUGAAAUCCCAGAGCUCAACUCUGGAACUGCCUUUGAUACUGGGAGGCUUGAGUGCGGGAGAGGGAUGUGGAAUUCCAGGUGUAGCGGUGAAAUGCGUAGAUAUCUGGAGGAACACCGGUGGCGAAGGCGGCAUCCUGGACCGACACUGACGCUGAGGCGCGAAAGCCAGGGGAGCAAACGGG